Molecule: long non-coding RNA, 802 nt
Organism: Alosa sapidissima (American shad)
Lineage: Eukaryota; Metazoa; Chordata; Actinopteri; Clupeiformes; Clupeidae
Exons: 6
Source: RefSeq, a predicted model, not a curated record
GUCAGAUCCUCGGAGUAGAUACGUCCGUGCAACAGGGCAAGUCACAAUUAGAUGUUGGAUGAUCACCUUUGAGGGCCGUGUAAUCUCUGAGGGCAUCCCACCAACAUUUGCAACGGACUUGCUGCUGUGUUUGCAAUCUACUACAUAUUCAACCUUCAGUAUCAAGAUGAGGCAGCCUGCACCCUUCAUUCAGAGGCGCUUCAUUGGUAUAAAUCCAUAGAGCGGGACAAAGCCCAAAAUGGGCAAGGUUGUCUCCAAGAAGAAAGGUGUGAUCGUCCAGAAGAAAUCUUCUGCAGUCAAUACACAUGUCGCCAUGUUUCUGAAGAAUCUUAUUGACUUGAAUGGAACUUGAUAUAGACCGGACUAUUUUAAGAUGUAAAAACAAUAAUUUUAUGCUGAUUCAUGGACAUGAAAAUACACCUCCACCAUGAUCCCCUUGACAGUAUUUGGAUCCUGAGAUCUCAGCCUUUACUGGACUUACAGUGUGCUAAAGGAUCAGGAACGUAUUGAAAACAUCACUAAUGCUGGCUGAAUAAUGUGUUCUCUUGUUUGGGGGGGGGGGGGCAAACAUGUCUAGUACAUCAACACAGUGUAAUCAAGUGUUAGUGAGAUUUUAUGCUGAUUCAUGGACAUGGAACUAGACCUCCACCAUGAUCCCCUUGACAGUAUUUGGAUCCUGAGAUCUCAGCCUUUACUGGACUUACAGUGUGAGGGAGGUUUUUGUACGGCUCUGUAUCACUGUGUGAACACAUAACCGCUUGGGAUAUGUAAACUCUGACAGUAGUAAUCUCCUGCAUCUUCA